Molecule: ribosomal RNA, 301 nt
Filed under: uncultured bacterium
Lineage: Bacteria
Description: partial 16S ribosomal RNA
Rfam family: Bacterial small subunit ribosomal RNA
Source: RNAcentral
CAGUCGCCACGGUAAUACGAAGGGGGCUAGCGUUGUUCGGAUUUACUGGGCGUAAGGGCGCGUAGGCGGAUUUGUAAGUCAGGGGUGAAAUCCCGAGGCUCAACCUCGGAACUGCCUUUGAUACUGUGGAUCUUGAGUCCGGGAGAGGUGAGUGGAACUGCGAGUGUAGAGGUGAAAUUCGUAGAUAUUCGCAAGAACACCAGUGGCGAAGGCGGCUCACUGGCCCGGAACUGACGCUGAGGCGCGAAAGCGUGGGGAGCAAACAGGAUUAGAUACCCCCGUAGUCCCUGUCUCUUAUACA